Molecule: ribosomal RNA, 492 nt
Filed under: uncultured bacterium
Lineage: Bacteria
Description: partial 16S ribosomal RNA
Rfam family: Bacterial small subunit ribosomal RNA
Source: RNAcentral
AGUGAACGCUGGCGGUAGGCCUAACACAUGCAAGUCGAACGGCAGCACAGUAAGAGCUUGCUCUUACGGGUGGCGAGUGGCGGACGGGUGAGGAAUACAUCGGAAUCUACUUUUUCGUGGGGGAUAACGUAGGGAAACUUACGCUAAUACCGCAUACGACCUACGGGUGAAAGCAGGGGAUCUUCGGACCUUGCGCGAUUGAAUGAGCCGAUGUCGGAUUAGCUAGAUGGCGGGGUAAAGGCCCACCAAGGCGACGAUCCGUAUCUGGUCUGAGAGGAAGAUCCGCCACACUGGAACGGAGACACAGUCCAGACUCCUACGGGAGGCAGCAGUGGGGAAUAUUGGACGAUGGGCGCAAGCCUGAUCCAGCCAUACCGCGUGGGUCAAGAAGGCCUUCGGGUUGUAAAGCCCUUUUGUUGGGAAAGAAAAGCAGCAGGUUAAUACCCCGCUGUUCUGACGGUACCCAAAGAAUAAGCACCGGCUAACUUCGUG